This 497-nucleotide ribosomal RNA is filed under the name uncultured bacterium. RNAcentral's name for it is "partial 16S ribosomal RNA". It matches the Rfam family "Bacterial small subunit ribosomal RNA", at positions 28 to 507 of the family's 1533-position model. The record is from RNAcentral.
GAUGAACGCUGGCGGCGUGCCUAAUACAUGCAAGUCAAGCGAACAGACGAGGAGCUUGCUCCUUUGACGUUAGCGGCGGACGGGUGAGUAACACGUGGGUAACCUACCUAUAAGACUGGGAUAACUUCGGGAAACCGGAGCCAAUACCGGAUAAUAUUUCGAACCGCAUGGUUCGAUAGUGAAAGAUGGCUUUGCUAUCACUUAUAGAUGGACCUGCGCCGGAUUAGCUAGUUGGUAAGGUAACGGCUUACCAAGGCAACGAUACGUAACCGACCUGAGAGGGUGGUCGGCCACACUGGAACUGAGACACGGUCCAGACUCCUACGGGAGGCAGCAGUGGGGAAUCUUCCGCAAUGGGCGAAAUCCUGACGGAGCAACGCCGCGUGAGUGAUGAAGGUCUUCGGAUCAUAAAACUCUGUUAUUAGGGAAGAACAAACGUGUAAGUAACUGUGCACGUCUUGACGUUACCUAAUCAGAAAGCCACGGCUAGCUACGUG